RNAcentral lists this transfer-messenger RNA (355 nucleotides) under Allopseudospirillum japonicum. RNAcentral's name for it is "Pseudospirillum japonicum Standard tmRNA". It matches the Rfam family "transfer-messenger RNA". Rfam says of the family: Bacterial tmRNA, also known as 10Sa RNA or SsrA, is named for its dual tRNA and mRNA-like properties. Its role is to liberate the mRNA from a stalled ribosome. Lineage: Bacteria; Pseudomonadati; Pseudomonadota; Gammaproteobacteria; Oceanospirillales; Oceanospirillaceae. The record is from Rfam by way of RNAcentral.
GGGGACGACAUGGCUUCGACGGCAGUGGCGAAACCCGAGGUGCAUGCCGAGAGUGAGCGCCUCUCGUAAAAUAACGUUCGAACUAAUAGUCGCAAACGACGAAUCUUACGCUCUAGCAGCUUAGGCUGCUGCCUCUGAAGGGGGAUGCCUGUUGCCCUUGGACGAGGAACGAGCCCGUAUAGACAGGCUCGCAUCCUAAAUCGCUUUUGUUUAGUGUGCUAAAUCUUAAGAAAGCUCGCUGUUGGAAAGCCUGCUCGUCGGCGCUUCAACGGCUAAAUUAAAAGACGAAACUAAGCAUGUAGAGCUGAGGGCAGAGUACUGGCGGACGCGGGUUCGAUUCCCGCCGUCUCCACCA